UAAUCGAUGUUAGCGAUAUACGGUUAGCGUCCAAGCGAAAGCGUUAAGUCAUCCACCUGGGGAGUACGCCCGCAAGGGUGAAACUCAAAGGAAUUGACGGGGGCCCGCACAAGCGGAGGAGCAUGUGGUUUAAUUCGAUGAUACGCGAGGAACCUUACCCGGGCUUGAAAGUUAGUGAAGCACCCAGAGAUGGGUGCGUCCUUCGGGACACGAAACUAGGUGCUGCAUGGCUGUCGUCAGCUCGUGCCGUGAGGUGUUGGGUUAAGUCCCGCAACGAGCGCAACCCCUAUGGAUAGUUGCCAGCAUUUAAAGGUGGGGACUCUAUCCAGACUGCCUGCGCAAGCAGUGAGGAAGGCGGGGACGACGUCAAGUCAUCAUGGCCCUUACGUCCGGGGCUACACACGUGCUACAAUGGUCGGUACAGCGGGCAGCCACCUGGCAACAGGGCGCCAAUCCCGCAAAGCCGGUCACAGUUCGGAUCGGGGCCUGCAACUCGGCCCCGUGAAGUUGGAUUCGCUAGUAAUCGCGUAUCAGCAAUGACGCGGUGAAUACGUUCCCGGGCCUUGUACACACCGCCCGUCAAGCCAUGAAAGCCGGGGGUGCCUGAAGCAUGUGACCGCAAGGAGCGUGUCAGGGCAAAACUGGUAAUUGGGGCUAAGUCGUAACAAGGUAACAGAA
Molecule: ribosomal RNA, 678 nt
Filed under: Parapedobacter sp.
Lineage: Bacteria; Pseudomonadati; Bacteroidota; Sphingobacteriia; Sphingobacteriales; Sphingobacteriaceae
Description: bacterial SSU rRNA
Rfam family: Bacterial small subunit ribosomal RNA
Source: RNAcentral